GACGAACGCUGGCGGCGUGCCUAAUACAUGCAAGUAGAACGCUGAAGAGAGGAGCUUGCUCUUCUUGGAUGAGUUGCGAACGGGUGAGUAACGCGUAGGUAACCUGCCUGGUAGCGGGGGAUAACUAUUGGAAACGAUAGCUAAUACCGCAUAAAAUGGAUUAUCGCAUGAUAAUCCAUUGAAAGGUGCAAAUGCAUCACUACCAGAUGGACCUGCGUUGUAUUAGCUAGUUGGUGGGGUAACGGCUCACCAAGGCGACGAUACAUAGCCGACCUGAGAGGGUGAUCGGCCACACUGGGACUGAGACACGGCCCAGACUCCUACGGGAGGCAGCAGUAGGGAAUCUUCGGCAAUGGACGUAAGUCUGACCGAGCAACGCCGCGUGAGUGAAGAAGGUUUUCGGAUCGUAAAGCUCUGUUGUAAGAGAAGAACGAGUGUGAGAGUGGAAAGUUCACACUGUGACGGUAUCUUACCAGAAAGGGACGGCUAACUACGUG
RNAcentral lists this ribosomal RNA (497 nucleotides) under uncultured bacterium. Its description in RNAcentral is "partial 16S ribosomal RNA". It matches the Rfam family "Bacterial small subunit ribosomal RNA", at positions 28 to 507 of the family's 1533-position model. The record is from RNAcentral.